GCAAGUCGAGCGAACGGACGAGAAGCUUGCUUCUCUGAUGUUAGUGGCGGACGGGUGAGUAACACGUGGAUAACCUACCUAUAAGACUGGGAUAACUUCGGGAAACCGGAGCUAAUACCGGAUAAUAUUUUGAACCGCAUGGUUCAAAAGUGAAAGACGGUCUUGCUGUCACUUAUAGAUGGAUCCGCGCUGCAUUAGCUAGUUGGUAAGGUAACGGCUUACCAAGGCAACGAUGCAUAGCCGACCUGAGAGGGUGAUCGGCCACACUGGAACUGAGACACGGUCCAGACUCCUACGGGAGGCAGCAGUAGGGAAUCUUCCGCAAUGGGCGAAAGCCUGACGGAGCAACGCCGCGUGAGUGAUGAAGGUCUUCGGAUCGUAAAACUCUGUUAUUAGGGAAGAACAUAUGUGUAAGUAACUGUGCACAUCUUGACGGUACCUAAUCAGAAAGCCACGGCUAACUACGUGCCAGCAGCCGCGGUAAUACGUAGGUGGCAAGCGUUAUCCGGAAUUAUUGGGCGUAAAGCGCGCGUAGGCGGUUUUUUAAGUCUGAUGUGAAAGCCCACGGCUCAACCGUGGAGGGUCAUUGGAAACUGGAAAACUUGAGUGCAGAAGAGGAAAGUGGAAUUCCAUGUGUAGCGGUGAAAUGCGCAGAGAUAUGGAGGAACACCAGUGGCGAAGGCGACUUUCUGGUCUGUAACUGACGCUGAUGUGCGAAAGCGUGGGGAUCAAACAGGAUUAGAUACCCUGGUAGUCCACGCCGUA
This 765-nucleotide ribosomal RNA is filed under the name uncultured Staphylococcus sp. Its description in RNAcentral is "bacterial SSU rRNA". It matches the Rfam family "Bacterial small subunit ribosomal RNA", at positions 57 to 804 of the family's 1533-position model. Lineage: Bacteria; Bacillati; Bacillota; Bacilli; Caryophanales; Staphylococcaceae. The record is from RNAcentral.